CGUCUAUAUACGUAUAGCAUAUCAAUAAGCGGAGGAAAAGAAACUAACAAGGAUUCCCUUAGUAACGGCGAGUGAAGCGGGAAGAGCUCAAAUUUGAAAUCUUCAAGGUUCUACCUUGACGAAUUGUAGUUUAAAGAAGUGUUUUUCUGUUAGUGGAGUGGCAAAAGUUCUUUGGAAUAGGACAUCAUAGAGGGUGAGAAUCCCGUAUUUGACCAUUAUUUCCAGCUUUGUGAUACACUUUCAAAGAGUCGGAUUGUUUGGGAAUGCAGUCCUAAAAUGGGUGGUAAAUUUCAUCUAAAGCUAAAUAUUGGCGAGAGACCGAUAGCGAACAAGUACCGUGAGGGAAAGAUGAAAAGAACUUUGAAAAGAGAGUUAAACAGUACGUGAAAUUGUCAAAAGGGAAGCGUUUGACACCAGUGUUGUUUUUCUCGAAAAUCAAUUACAAAAUGGACUUGGAUUUUGUGUUGUAUUGACCUUUAUCAGCUUUCUGCACUUUUUUCUAGUCUUUUCUUAAUGCACUUUUCGUUUAACAAGUCAACAUCAAUUUCUUUUGUUGUAAAAGGGUAUUCGGAAGGUGGCUUUCUUUUCGGAGAAAGUGUUUAUAGCCUUUGGCCUCUGCAAUCGGAGAGAUUGAGGUCUGCAGCGUAGAUCCUUCGGGGUCAGAUACACUUUGUGCUAAGUUAUAGCCUUUUCAUAGACAACUUGUUGACUAUGAUUUAGUCAUGUCGGCUUACUCGCUUAUGCUAUUUUACCUACGCUUAGGAUGUUGACUGAUAUGUAGUCGU
Molecule: ribosomal RNA, 785 nt
Filed under: uncultured Neocallimastigales
Lineage: Eukaryota; Fungi; Neocallimastigomycota; Neocallimastigomycetes; Neocallimastigales
Description: partial large subunit ribosomal RNA
Rfam family: Eukaryotic large subunit ribosomal RNA
Source: RNAcentral